GACGAACCGUGCGAACGUUGUUCGGAAUCACUGGGCUUAAAGGGCGCGUAGGCGGUUUCCCAAGUCCGGGGUGAAAUCUUUCGGCUUAACCGGAAAAGUGCCUUGGAUACUGGGCGACUCGAGGGGGGUAGGGGCAAGCGGAACUUCCGGUGGAGCGGUGAAAUGCGUUGAUAUCGGAAGGAACGCCGGCGGCGAAAGCGGCUUGCUGGACCCCAUCUGACGCUGAUGCGCGAAAGCCAGGGGAGCGAACGGGAUUAGAUACCCCGGUAGUCCUGGCCCUAAACGAUGGGUACUAGGUUGUGGGCCUGACAUGGGCUCCCAGCCGGAGCAAAAGUGCUAAGUACCCCGCCUGGGGAGUAUGGCCGCAAGGCUGAA
RNAcentral lists this ribosomal RNA (375 nucleotides) under uncultured bacterium. Its description in RNAcentral is "bacterial SSU rRNA". It matches the Rfam family "Bacterial small subunit ribosomal RNA", at positions 524 to 898 of the family's 1533-position model. The record is from RNAcentral.